Microcebus murinus (gray mouse lemur) is the source of this 5496-nucleotide non-coding RNA. Lineage: Eukaryota; Metazoa; Chordata; Mammalia; Primates; Cheirogaleidae. The record is from RefSeq and is a predicted model, not a curated record.
AAUCUUAUUGGCUUAAAACAACCACCUCUAUUCUCAGUGUAUCGAGAGCCUGGGCUUGGCUUUAGCUGGGUCCCCUGGCUCAGCAUCUCUCAUAUGUCAUCAAUCAAGGUAGCCUCGGAGGCUGCAGUCACUGCAACGCUCGACUGGGGAGGUUCUGCCUCUAAUCUCUCUCAGGCUGCUGGCAUGAUUCAGUUCCUCCCAGGCUGCUGCACUGAGGGCCUCAGCUCCUGAAUGGCUGUUGGCCAGAAGCCACCCUCAUUUCCUUGUCAUAUUGGCAUCUCUACAGGGCAACUCACAAAUGGCAACAUGCUUCCUCAAAGCAAGAAGUGAGAGGAGCCAGAGGGAGAAACUGAGUAAGAAUGGAAGUCACUGUUUUUUUACAGCCUAAUCUUGGAUAUAACUGACAGCCCAUCCCUUUUGCUCUGUCCUAUUCUUUAGCAGCAAGUCGCUGGGUCCACCCAACAUACAGAGGAGAAGAUUACACAAGGGUGUUAUACCAGGACAUGGGGAUCACUGGUGAGCCAUGCCGGAAACCUGCCUUCCCUACACAGGGCGCUACAUGCAACCUGGGGGAAGAGCAUUCCAGAUGUCGGGAACAGCAAAUGCAAAGGCCAUGGUGUGUUUGAAGAACAGAGAGAAGGCUGGAGAGGAGUAAGACUAAGAGGAGGUGGCGCUUGAAAAGCAGGCAGCGGCCAGAUCCCAGGUCAUAGGGAACUUUUCAGGUCUCCGCAGUUUGGAUUUAAUUAUGAGUAUAAAGAAAAUCCUCUGGAUGGGUUGGAGCAAAAGAGGUUAUUAAACUACCCUUUCUUUUAUGAAAUCACAGUGAUGGUAAAUGCUAUAGUCUAUUUGUGUAUUUAUUAGUAUUAUUUGUAAUGACCUUUCUAUGGGGAAGCUGGCAAUUCCAUGUCAGUUUUCCCUAUAUUUAAAAAAUUAUUUUAUUUUGCUGGUUCUCAACACCUCAAAUCUGACAAUCUAAGAAUCUAUAAAGAAAUGAUUUGAAAUCAUAGAUUUUUUUUUUUUUUUUUUUAGGAUUUGAGCUCCUCUAUGUUGUUUAGGGAGGAAGGAUCAGUGGAUGUUAUUAUGAUUAUGAUUAUUAUUCAUUGCAAUCAAGUGGGCUUGCCUCACUUCAAUCUCAGGCAAGAGUCAGGGGAAAUAAGGGGUUGGGACGGGGAGCACACGUGGACAUGACCCUGACCGUGUGUGCGUGGUCACUGGGGAGGAUCUCCGGAAGCCCAUGGAUAUUUAGGGAGUGGAAGGGAGGCAGUCUACUUCCCGCUGAAGAACAAACACUUAAAUUGCCAACUCCUUCUCCCCAGGUAUCUGGGUCAGUUAAUCCCAGCACACAGCUGCCAGCUGAACUCGUCCUGGGCCAAGCCGCUCUGCUUUGAAAUCCUCCCCCAGGCGACCUCGCGCAAUGACGUCAGACGGGGUGAGGGCCCCGCCAGCCCUGCCCUCUCGCGAGAUGAUGUGCAAGGGGAAAUGCGCUCUGUCUGUGCUCAGGAAACAUCUGCUUGAUCCGCUGGUCCUCGAGCGGGUCACUGGCUGUUUGAUAAGUUGGUGGAACAGAAUGGGAUGGGAAGACAGGGCACUUGGGCGGUUACUCCACCUCCCCACCAAGUUACGAACUGAAACGAGAGGCGAGGAAACGGCCUCCCUCGCAGGCCUCCCACAUCCAUGGCCGCCGCACAGUCACACUUCCUAGCUUGUAAUGGGAAAACGAGCGCUGUUUACAGGAGCUUAAAGUGGCCCAGAUGGAAACAUGAGCCAAGCUGUGUCGUGGAGGGCAGACUCCUACCUGGACGCUUUCAGCAGUCCGGUAAUUAUUCAAUACCAGGCCUGAAAUAUAGGCUCCUAAUGAAGAAUAUCAUUCACUGGCCCUUGGAAAGCGAAACGCCGCAUUCAUCGUCUCCAGCCUGCCAACUUCAGGACUAGAACUACACUGUGGGGGCUCUCCUGGGUCUCCAGCAUGACAGCUGACAUUGUGGGACUUCUUAGCCUUCAUAAGCAUAACAACCUCCACAUCUAUGGCACAAUUCGAGGGAAAACAAUGAAAUCCUAUGAAACAUCAGGAGUCACUACUUACUGAGCCCUCAUCACGUAACAUCAUGAGCUUUACAUACGGCAUCAAUUCUGAUCCUCCCAAAGACCCUGUGAGUUCGGUAUAAGUAUCCCCCACCUUACGGACGACAAAAGGGAGGCUCAGAGAGGUAAGGAAACUCACCCGAAACCCCACAGCCUGACUGCAGUCCUGAAACCUAAAUAUGAACUCAGACCCGGCUCUGAAACCUACAUAGAAUUUCAUAGCUAGAUGGCGCUCACAUGUUGCAUGCGUUGAAUGUACUUUCAUGUGAUGGAAGUUUGGGUUUCACGCUAGAGGGAGUUAAAAGCCUAAAACAAUCAAAGAGUUCACUAAGUCCAACAAAAUUACACCUACUGUAUCACAGCAACCACCUCAGCCCUGCCCACCUCAAUGUCUCGAAUGACCCGUCCCUCCCACCAGGCGGUCUCUUGCCUCCUGCUCUUACAUGCUGAGCAGCGGAUGUAUUAAAUGUUUCAGGGAAGAGAUGAUGCUGCUUUGGCUCUGUCUUUCCUCUCUCCAAGCCUUUUAAUUUGUGCUCGCAGCAAAUACUGUCCCACUCUCUCCCCCAGCUUACUCAGCUCAUGUGACAGUCGUCGCCUGACACUCCACUGAUGGAAAAUGACCCUGACAGACGGAUUACAAUCCAGCAGAGUGCCUUGGAAGGGCUGGCAGUUCCAGAGUGCCACACGGCCUGUGACUGGAGAACCGCAAGUUCACUGAGGCCCAGAGAAGUGCAGGGCCUUUCCCAAGGUCACACAGCAACCCGGGGAAUGUGUUCAGACUCCAAAUCUGCUGGCUUGGCAGGGAUGUUCAGAAUUCAGCUCACAUUCACAGCAUGCUGGGUGGCAGGGGCAGGUUUGGGACUCCCGGUCCAGCUGUCUCCAGAGACUGCGAUCUUGACCAGGGCAUCAGCCCACCUCUCUGACCCCACCGUGACACGGCUGAAAAGAAAAGAACAGAAAGUUCUCCAGGAAGAGAAAAAUAGAAUGACCAUGACUUGCGUGAAUACAGAAGAAUGAACUAUUGUGGCACCUUCCUUUAAACAGUCCCUUCGUGGCAGAACUGAGAAAUGCCAGAACUCCAGAGGAACCAAAUGCUUGGUAGAGGUAGCCAUGUGACUUCUCCCUGUCUUGAAUAUGGACAUGAUGUUUGGAGCUAUACAACUAUUCUGUGACCGAGAGGCAACAAACAUGAGAAGGCAGAGUAGAAAGACUCAAAGAAUUCCUGGCAUCAUUAAUCAGCUAUACCAAUGACAGCAACUGUAGACCUCUGAACUAUUUGUUAGGCCCCGGAACUCUGGCCCACCCUAAGACUGAGCCAGCAGAUAGCCCCUCCUGGAAACAGGCUGGCCUCAGGAUAAAAUAUUCUCUAAUCUACUAUCCAAUCAUCCCACCCUUCCAUCCCACUUCCCUACAUAUGGUUCUUUCUAAUGUUCUUUAUAAAAGAAAAACUCUUUUGCCUAACUCUCAAGAUGCUUGCAGAUCUCAUGGGCAAAGACUUUUCCUAUUGCAAUAUUUCCUUCCCCCACUUCCUGAAAUAAUCCUUCUGAAUAAAAGUCUCUUCAUAACUAAGUCCAGAUUUAUUCUUUUUAUUAUUUGACAUUACCCUAAAGUAAAAAAGUAGACUGACAGAAUAGUGCUGACAAGACUUAUGAAUAUAAGAAAUAUAAUUAUGUAUAAAUUCAUUAAAACAGUACAGAAGUACAGAAAUGUUGCUAAAAUGCAUUGCCAAGAAAUAAGAGAUAAUGGACACUUUAAUGGAUUAAUUAAUUAAUUAAUUGGGGUACAACAUUCGAUUUUGCACAGAAACAUAUAAAAUUCCACAUGCCAUUUUAUAAAAAGUACUGCCUCCUUCCACUAAAUAACUCUGAAAAAAAAUAGAUAUAAACUCACUAGGAAACUUGACCCUGAGAAGAAAUCAGGCACAGGCUUCUACUUGAUCUUGCAGCUUGGACUAUGUUUCCCUUGGUGGUUUGUUAGCAGUUACUGCAACAGUGAUGUAUUUGUAACUGAAGGAGAUUUCCAAUCACUCUGACCUGCUAUAAAUUCUUUCAGUAACACUAGGAAUUGUCUUUCGAAGCACAGUCCGAUUUCCAAACAGCUUUGUAUUCAUCAUCUUGUGUAAUAGUUAACACAGCCCUGUGAUGUACGUAGGGAGUUGGUGUUAUCUCCACCUUUAAAUGAGGAAGUGAACCCCAGAGAGGCUAACUUACUCGCUGGAGUCCCUAAGGGACAGACAGAAAGAGAUUCCCCAUAACUUCUCCUUAUUUAGCUCCCCUUCUCUGCAUGGUUUCUCCAAAUCAUUGUUCCAAACCACAAGCUAAUGGUCAAAGCAAAGACCCAUCACAUAGGAUCUCAGAGCAGGAAGGGGCUUUAGAUCACUUGUGCAAAAGAUGUCAGUGACUUGCCAAGAGUCAGCACAUGAUGCUGUUGGUGGAAAAGCCUGGAUGGGAACCAGUUCCUUCUCUCAGCCCAGUGCUCCUGCUGCAGACCACCCAGGAUGGACCUCCCACGUGGACCCUCCCCUUCAUCCCUAAGCCUGGUGUGUUUGCCCACAAGGCCUCCAAAGUAUUUUUCAGAUGCAGCUUCUAAAGGGUUCAGACAAAAAUCAGGGGAAAGGCAGGGAUAGAGGAAAGACGACUAUUGUCACUUUCAACAGACUAGGCACUGUGCCGAGUUUUCCCAGAUAUAAUUCCAAAGAGCUGUCUCAUAAACCAGAAAAGGUAGCCAGAAAAGACAGCAUGGUGGUUACAGUAUAGACUUACAGUCACAGUCUGGGAGGGGUUAAGCUCUUCCAUUUGCUAACCUGCAAAUGGGGUCUAAUAAGAGUCUCUCUUUUAUGCAACGAUUAUGAGGAUUAGAUAACCUAUCUGCAGUUCUAUUAUGUGGUGCACAUAAUAAGUACUUAGUAAAUAUUAGUUAUUGUUUUCAUUAAUAAGGUAGAUACGAUGAUCUCCUUUUUCCAGAUUAAAGAACUGAGGAUUCAGAAUUAUAAAUAAUGUGCAUUUUUAGGAAAACCAGCACCUAUGAAGUACUUGCUCUAAACCAGGCACUGCACUUAUGAUGAAUACUUGCAAUAACCCUGUGAAGGAAGCAUCAUUAGUUCCACAUUACAAAUGGAGAGAUAGAGGCUGGGGGAAAAGGGAGACGUGGACAAAUGACUAGGAAAUUUCCUACUGACAUCACUAAUUUUUGAGAUGUUGUUAUUCUGGCUAACUUGUCUAAAUGUCAAGCUGUUGUAUUUCUUAGCAAUGGCGAUUCAAACGCAUUAAAAAAAAAAAAAGCUGUGCAAUUUAUUUUCAAUAGUAUUCACAAGGCUAAAGUACUUUGAGAAAUAUUAUCAUGGACAAUAUACUUCUUUGUCCAAAGCAGAAUAAGUUCUGAAAGAGCUGAUGUGCAUUUACAAAUGAGAAAUGU